UUUGUCAGGAAGGUUUCUUAUCUGCUGUUGGGAGCUUGAAAGAGGUGUAAGCCAUGUCAUUCUCUUAUCUCAAGUGCCGGUGGCAUUCAAGCUCUCGUGAAAAGCAAUGAAAGAAAAUUAGCCGAAGAAGAUGAGUCAAUACUGAUGGCCUCAGGAAUCCCUUACACCAUCAUCAGGGCUGGUUUGUUACUAAACUCUCCACGUGGAACUCAAGGCUUUAGCUUUGAAAAGGUUAGUUGAUGCCAAAGUUUUCUCAAUUUUCUUUUUUUCCCCUCCCUGCAGCCAUUAGAGAUCUAACCGAUCAUAUGUGGAUCAAUUAUGCAUAGUUUCUUCAUGUCCUUUGUGAAAUUCAAAUCAGUCUGCUUUCUUUACAUUGCUGUAAUCUAAUAUAUAUACAUGGGGAAAAAUAUGUGUUAUCCACAUUUUGUAGAUAAGGCCUGAAUUUUUAACAAUUAUAAGCAAUCCUAGACGAUGUCUGAAUAGAUCAUUAUGUAAAGUUUACUCAUACGAUACAAAAGUGCAUUGGUCAUAGGAGAUUCUAGGUGUAUUGCAAGGGCUCUUUGUUCAAAUGAAAGAGAAACAGUCCACAGACAAGUAGCUGCUGAAACAGCAGACUUCACAAGAUUCUGCUAAAAAUCUUUUUUCAAAGGUUUGGGGCUGAGGAUGUGACACGAUAACUAUUUUUGUAAAAUUUGAGGUAGAGCCUGCCACUGAAAUUGAGAAGGAUGUUAGUGCUGAGAAGCAGUUGGAAGAGAUGGAUCCAUGACAGAUGGUAUGGAGUGUAUCUUCAACUUAGCAGACAGUUGAGAUGUUGUCGUGGUUUGCUAUUGAAUGAGGUCAUUUUUUGUUUUGUUUUUACUUUAUCUUUCCUACUAAUAUGCUAUUAAUUGGCAAAGAGAUAUUGUUGGAGUCAUAUGCAUUGUUAUGGCGAUGUUUGCUGUUUUCAAUUACAUAACAUAUAUAAUCUAUCUAUGGGUGUGCCAAAUGUGGAUGUGAUUACAUACAGUAUGUCAUUUGGAACUUUUGUCAUGCUGUUCAUUCAGUACCACUGCUAGCUUUAGUGUCUGAUUAUGCUGUACGUAGAUGUGAGGUUAUUAAUUUUUUUUGGAAUUUUGAGUACCUGUAGUAAUGCCUUAAGUUGUCCUUAAGAACAAUUUCUCGGCAAUUUGAUUUAGUUCUGCUGGAUUGGUCAUUAAAUUUGAGCUUCCAUCUUAAGGCCAGUAUCCAGCUAUUUAUGAUUAUACUGUCUAUGAUGCAAUUCUUUUUGAGUUUCUAUAGUUGCAAGUUUCUGUUAUUCUAAAGUAAUACUUGCUAAAUUAUGUGGGAUGAGCAUUCUCUUAGGUCUUAAGGGUCUACAACAAUGGUGCAGAGAGGGAGUGAUUAUUGAAGUAUCUUUUUCGACGCACUGAUUGAGGUUCUUAUCCCCUUGUGAUCUGGAGAACAAGAAACAUUACAAGAACUGCACCCUCCUAUACUCCAAUAGUGUAGGAGAUGGUUUGAAACUUGAACAAAAUCAGGCUAUUUUCGUGAUUCAAGUGCUACUGGACACCUUAUAUGAUUACAUUCAUGUGAUUUUCUCUCAAUUCCUCUCUAUCUCUUGUUCAAUGAUAAUAUCUUUCACAUGAAAUUUGGGCUAUUCAGUUGGACAUUACAAGGCUUAUGAGGAGAAGGAAUAGGUUAACACAUUAUCAGUGAGUUUGGUCACGGCUUUCAUGUUGUUAUAUAGUUUCUCUUUAUAUCUAAAGUCUAAUUUCAGGUCAGGAUUUAACUUUCGAUUCUAUAUCUGCAACAUAUCCAUCGAUCUUUGGUAUUGUUCCUUAAGUGAUCAGAGUGUCAUUUAUACUUUGAUAUUGGAUCUUUUGGGGUUAUAUAGGUGGUGUACGAGUGUUUGAUCAUUUCUUCUUGAAUUGUAUGGCAAGCAGAAUUUGUUAAUUUCUUGUGUUACUGUGGACUUUAUUAUGGUAAAGUAUAUAACUGUAAAAGUAUCAAUCAUACCAGUUUCCUCAUUUUUAUUUGAUUUCCCAUCUGUCUUGACCGGUGUGACCUCGUUAUAUCUGCAAAUGGGAAGACGGAGUAAAUAACUUCUGUUUUGUUGAAUCUCUCUCUACAGAGACAACAGUUGAAAGAUUUGUUCACUUUGUGAGCACUUGAGAGAAUGAGAGGCCUUGGAAGUUGGAAGUUGAACAGGUGUACACUUUAGAAUUCAAAAGUUUAGUUUCAAAAAGUCCUGGAGACACACAAAACUGUGCUGCAGAAAGAGCAAGGCUUUUGCUUGUGGAUUUUGACAUUGACAAUUGCAACAAUUAAUAUCAUUUGCUGAAUACUUUGGGCUUCAUGCUUGAUGAUAUGGAAAAUAUUUUGCUUCAAGUCACUAGUGGGGUAUGAUAAUGUUAAACUUAUCAAUGCUACAUGAAGAUACAAGGAACCACGGAAAUGAAAGCAUGAAACUAGCCAUGGCUUGAAAUUGUAGUGGCUGAAGCAAUGUAUAACCUACCAGACUUCUCUGCCAUGAAUGCAUCUGGCAUAUUGCUUUUGAGGUAUGACAGAAACAAAAUGUGUUGCCGGAAAAUAAUGGAAAAGGAACGAGUGUUACUGCAGGUGAUUCCAAGAACAUGAGAUCAAGGAAUCACGAAAGAGGCUACCCACUCAGGUAAAAGGAAAUCAGGCAUUAUCGGUAUUCUAAACAUUAACUAUAUAUCACCUCAAAUGGGAAAUUCUCAAGCAGCUUCUGACUCGAACUAAUGAGGAAGGUGGAAACUUGCAUGAUGGAAUUCUGGAGACUAUGAACUAUCCUCAAAAAGAAAAACCACAAUCUUGUCUUAUGAGGAUGAUCCUUUUAGUUUCUGGUGAUGGAUAUAGGGGUGAAAAGUAAAGAAGGAAGCACAACAAGUAUCAAUGAGUUUAGUGGAUAUAUGACCUGCCUGUGAAAGUGUAUCCAGAAAGGGAGUUCUUUUUCGAUAAAGGAGUGUACGAUUUCAAUAGCUUUGACGGUGGGGCUAAUAACAGGAGUUCCUGCAUUGGAAUUGUCCAACAAUGCGUAUGCAGCUACCCGAGUGCUGCCUGAUCUGGCUGUACUGAUCUCCAGAUCGCCAAUAAAGGACCCUGGGGCAUUGUUGAGAUAUGCUCUGCCUAUUGAUAACAUUCUAACAAGGCUAUCAGGGAGGUACAAAAGCCACUUGAAGAUAUCACAGAGAGUCUCAAGAUAGCUGGAGUCAAGGCACUAGAUUCAACUGAGAGGAAUUUGAGGCAGGCGUCUCGAGCACUGAAGCAGGGGAAGUCUUUAAUUGUGACUGGAUUAGCUGAAUCGAAGAAGGAUCAUGGUGCUGAAAUGCUUGGCAAGCUGGAAGUAGGAAUGGAUGAGCUCCAACAGAUUGUGGAGG
Rosa chinensis is the source of this 3380-nucleotide long non-coding RNA. RefSeq lists it as uncharacterized. The transcript is spliced from 8 exons. NCBI's taxonomy places the organism in Eukaryota, Viridiplantae, Streptophyta, Magnoliopsida, Rosales, Rosaceae. The record is from RefSeq and is a predicted model, not a curated record.